GUGUCAGCCGCCGCGGUAAUACGGGGGGGGCAAGCGUUGUCCGGAAUUAUUGGGCGUAAAGGGCGCGUAGGUGGAAUGGUAAGUUGAGGGUGAAAGCCCGGAGCUUAACUCCGGGUCUGCCUUCAAGACUGUCAUUCUUGAGUAUGGAAGAGGGAAGUGGAAUUCCCGGUGUAGCGGUGAAAUGCGUAGAUAUCGGGAAGAACACCGGUAGCGAAGGCGGCUUCCUGGUCCAUUACUGACACUGAGGCGCGAAAGUGUGGGGAGCAAACAGGAUUAGAAACCCGCGUAGUCC
RNAcentral lists this ribosomal RNA (292 nucleotides) under uncultured bacterium. RNAcentral describes it as "partial 16S ribosomal RNA". It matches the Rfam family "Bacterial small subunit ribosomal RNA", at positions 505 to 796 of the family's 1533-position model. The record is from RNAcentral.